AUUUUUUUAAAAAAAUAUAUAACUUUUAGAAGAUCAGAACGCUUACGAUAAUUUAUAAUCCGUAAGCCAAAAAGAACACAGAAACUUCCAAUCAAACGGAACUUUACACGAUCAUUACAAUAUUACUCGCCAGAAACUCUGGGCAGAAGUUUCUUACAAGGUAGUAGCACUGAUACAUGAUUGAUGAUACAUAAAAAGAAAAAGCAUCCAUUAGAACGCGUAAUUUCCACGAGGAAAACCAUUUCAUUCUUGCAGAAUCCGCCUGCUUGCUAUGUGCAGAAACGGUGGCAGCAACAAGCAGUGUGGACACUGGAGCAAAAACACCAUACGCCAUAGCCAAAAACACAGCAAGCUUCUGGAGCAAGAUCGAACGAGAAACUGAGCAAGCAGCUAGCUAGCUAGUACGGAGUACUAUAUAUACACAGGGGCGGGCCCCCGGGGCGCCCGGGGGGGGGGGGGGGGGGGCCCCCCCGCUGCCAUGGCCGCCGGCGCGGCGGAGCAAGACGGCCGGCCCGGAGAAGGGAAAGCUACACACGUUACAUAUCACUUGGGCCCCCACAGCAGCAGGUGCAUCACCUUGUCCGCCUUGCCGCCNNNNNNNNNNNNNNNNNNNNNNNNNNNNNNNNNNCGGCGUCGCGCGCCAGGGCGCGCAGGGUCGCCGGGAGCUCCCACCUGCUCUCGCGCCCGCUGCUCAUGGCGAUCGAUCGAACCCGAACUCACCACUUCUUGCUAGCUCAGCUCGAUCGUCUUCUCCGGCGCGCCAACCCAGCUCGCCUCGCCUCGCCUCUUAUACUGCCACUCCUCUGCACAGAGCACACCCGGUCAUGGCUCCCGACGAGCAGUAGUAAUCAGCAAUAAAUAUCAGCCACCAUGAUUGAUGAACGCCACCACCUCGCAUCGAGUGGCCGAGAGAUCUCGGGUCGACGACGUCAGGGACGGGAUUUUUAUCCCGCGCGGCGGGGGCUCCACGCGGCCGGUGCGGAGUUUUUCCACGGCGUGGCGGUGGCGGCGAGCUGAGGCUGAGGUCGUGGGUG
This 1034-nucleotide long non-coding RNA is filed under the name Oryza brachyantha (malo sina). Its description in RNAcentral is "long non-coding RNA (OBRA_LNC000354)". Lineage: Eukaryota; Viridiplantae; Streptophyta; Magnoliopsida; Poales; Poaceae. The record is from RNAcentral.